Molecule: ribosomal RNA, 253 nt
Filed under: uncultured bacterium
Lineage: Bacteria
Description: partial 16S ribosomal RNA
Rfam family: Bacterial small subunit ribosomal RNA
Source: RNAcentral
UACGUAGGGUGCAAGCGUUAUCCGGAAUUAUUGGGCGUAAAGAGCUCGUAGGCGGUUUGUCGCGUCUGCUGUGAAAACUGGAGGCUCAACCUCCAGCCUGCAGUGGGUACGGGCAGACUAGAGUGCGGUAGGGGAGAUUGGAAUUCCUGGUGUAGCGGUGGAAUGCGCAGAUAUCAGGAGGAACACCGAUGGCGAAGGCAGAUCUCUGGGCCGUAACUGACGCUGGGGAGCGAAAGCAUGGGGAGCGAACAGG